Molecule: long non-coding RNA, 220 nt
Filed under: Ictidomys tridecemlineatus (thirteen-lined ground squirrel)
Lineage: Eukaryota; Metazoa; Chordata; Mammalia; Rodentia; Sciuridae
Description: lncRNA (ENSSTOG00000034810.1)
Source: RNAcentral
GGCUGGCCUCCCACAGAACCGGGCUGGCCGGGACAACCAGCCUGGGGGCAGCCCCAGGGUGGGGAGACCCCCAGAUCUCUCGGUCGAGGGAAGGGAAGAUUUAAAGGGCGGGUCCUUGUUCCAGCUGGAUAACCUUGGGGCAGCUACUUCACCUCCCUGGGCCUCCUUUCAGGAAACAGGGUGAGUGACAGUCACAACCCAGUGAGUCUGCGAAUGCACC